Molecule: long non-coding RNA, 904 nt
Organism: Hemicordylus capensis (graceful crag lizard)
Lineage: Eukaryota; Metazoa; Chordata; Lepidosauria; Squamata; Cordylidae
Exons: 2
Source: RefSeq, a predicted model, not a curated record
CAGGAGGUCGAGUGUUUGGUGGCUUUGGAACACUGGCGUUGGGGGCCCAGAACAGCCCAGGGAGGCAGGGACGCAGAUCCCCAACGUUCCAAGGCCACGGCCACUCACUUAGCCUUUUAUUAUAUAGGAUAAUUAAGCCUUUCGGAAGUAGGGUUGGUGUGAUAGAUCUAGAUUGAAAAGGCACAGAAGUCUGCUAAGUCAGUGCUUGGUAAAUUCCAACAAGCAAUAGGUGCUCUACUGGAACAAGAACGUGUGUGUGUGUGUGUGUGUGUACACAUACGUGCGUGCGCACACGCACACACACUAAGAGAUUUGUUAGAAAACCUGCUUCUGCAGUUUUCCAACUAAAAUCCAUUACUGGAUGUAUUUUGUAUUAAACUAUGAGCUGGUAAAUGUAGAACCAGCUCCAGAAACCUUUAUACUCAUCUGGGUACUGCUUUCUUCCUCCCACCUGGCUCACUUUCAUGGUGCUGAGCUAAGAGUGUGGGAGAUGUGAUUUAUUUACUAAAUGUUUACUUUCAGUCUGGCAGUCUGCUUACAGUAACUAUUACAACUAUUUAUCUACUGCUUUUCAGCAAAAGUUAUCAAAGCCAUUUGCAUAGAAAAAUAAGAUGGUUUCCUCUCCCCAGAGGUUUCAUAUUCUUAAAAAGAAACAGUCAGUCUUUAUUAAUACAGCCAAUGGCCAGAAUUACAAAAAUAAAAUCAUUUAGAAUUAACAACUUCAUUCCGAAUAACACCACAAAUAUAGCAGAAUUUAGCAACAUUGAGUAAGCUGUCUUCUUUACAAUCCUUUAAAAUUAAAUUUAAAUAAUCCAUUUCAGUUAAUCCUGGAAACAGGAUAAGUUGAGGUGAAAUGUAUUUUUUCCUAAUGUCAUUGUAAAAUUGGCAAUAAAAAAGAACAUGA